Molecule: non-coding RNA, 1242 nt
Organism: Oncorhynchus mykiss (rainbow trout)
Lineage: Eukaryota; Metazoa; Chordata; Actinopteri; Salmoniformes; Salmonidae
Source: RefSeq, a predicted model, not a curated record
UUAACUGCCUUGUUCACUGGCAGAACGACAGAUUUUUUUUUACCUUGUCAGCUCAGGGAUUUGAUCCAGCAACCUUACUGGCCCAACGCUCUAACUACUAGGCUUCCUGGCGACCCCUACUUCGCAUUCCCACUAUGCACAUGGAAUAGGAAACUAUGUAAAUUAUAUUAAAUCAAAUGUAUUUAUAUAGCCCUUCUUACAUCAGCUGAUAUAUCAAAGUGCUGUGCAGAAACCCAGCCUAAAACCCCAAACAGCAAGCAAUGCAGGUGUAGAAGCACGGUGGCUAGGAACAACUCCCUAGAAAGGCCGGAACCAAGGAGGAAACCUAGAGAGGAACCAGGCUAUGAGGGGUGACCAGUCCUCUUCUGGGUGGAGGGGCAGUGAGUCAAAGCAGACGUUAUUGCCUCGCUAAAAAGUAUAACCUUCUCUAACGGAGGACUCAGCUCUCAAACUACAAAACCCAGGACAACUAACUGAACGUCGUGAAUGAUCUAGCUACGCACGGUAGUUAUUUGAUACGUGGAACGUCGGACAGAGACUUGCUCGUAGCUAAAUAUAGCCAUGGAUCAGAUGCAGGACGGGUGGGAGAAAUUUAAUAGGCGAAUAUCACAGCCAAUCACAACACUGUGGCUUGGCCAUCUAGUGGGAAAGGGAGAGGCUAUACGGACACGCCUGCUGGCCAAAUGAAUGACGUAUGUCGUGCAGCUGAAAGUCGUGGAGACGAUUGGAUUCGGGUUCAGUCAGGCGUCCUGAAGAGCCCUUCCCCACUUCCCAGCAAGCUAGUUUCUGUUCGCUAGUAACCAUAUAGGUGUCACCAUGACCAAUUAGCUAAUGUAACGACAAUCCGGUGUGAAUCAGUAGUGCAAUGGGGCUUUUCGGAGGUGCUUGAUAACAGCUUACAUGAUAAAUAACUUGUAAUAUUGGUAGUAUAUCAGGCCAGGGUGGAGUGCAUUUAUUGUAAUGAUUUUCACUGAAAAUGUUAAACUACGGCAUCAAUGUCUAUUAAAAUAAAUACAUACGAACAAUUACUCCGAUUUAAACACGCUUCCAAGUCCCAACUUCAACAGAGAAGUUUCAAAUUAUGGCUGAAGUUGCUACCCACAACUAAAAACUAGCUAGCUGGGAAGGGCUCAUCAGGACAGCUGAAUGAACAGAAUCUGUUUGUCUCCACUCAAAUCUCGCAGUAGAAACGCGAACGUCAACUAGCCUAUUGUAUAACCCAGGACAACUUUAGAGCUCCAU